GGCCACGAAGCUCAAAUGGUAUGAGCACUCCUUUCAUAUGGGAGAGGCUGUAGGUUCGAAUCCUACCGUGGCUA
This 74-nucleotide transfer RNA is filed under the name marine sediment metagenome. RNAcentral describes it as "tRNA-Met". It matches the Rfam family "tRNA". Rfam says of the family: Transfer RNA (tRNA) molecules are approximately 80 nucleotides in length. Their secondary structure includes four short double-helical elements and three loops (D, anti-codon, and T loops). The record is from RNAcentral.